Long non-coding RNA from Seriola aureovittata, 2532 nucleotides. RefSeq lists it as uncharacterized. The record is from RefSeq and is a predicted model, not a curated record. Lineage: Eukaryota; Metazoa; Chordata; Actinopteri; Carangiformes; Carangidae. The transcript has 3 exons.
GGGGGGGGGGGGGUGAGGGUGGGGGGGGCACAGGGUCAGCUACACAAACAAUGUUACCCUCGCUACAUUUAACGUCAAGCCCCGCAGGCGACAACAAUGGCGUCAGCACGGCCCUUCCACGUCUAAACGUUGCUAGAUUUCUCUCUGGCUGGUCUCAGUGUGCUCGAACAGCACAAAGUCCAAACAAUUGAGAGGUUUUUCUGUUUUCCAUCGCGCUCAGCAGGUCACAACUCGUAUAAAAACACAAAGGUUGCAGCUGCCGUGGCUUUUCACACCACUGCCAUUAAAAAAAAAAAAAAAAAAAAAGCUGCGGUUCAUUCCUCAAAGAAUGUGAAGCCGGGCGUCUGAAGGAGGCCGCAAAACAAACCUCUGCCAUGGGGCUUCGGUGAGGAGUGUUACUGGUUGAGGUACUGUCUCUCUCUCUCUAAUCCGAGGCCGUUUGAAGGGAGGGGAAGUCGGUGCUGCACCCGAGAGUUGGCGCUCGCUCUCGUUUGAAAGAGAAGGAGGCGUGGAUGUGAUCGGUCAGGUGGUUCGUUGGCCGCAAGGCGUCAAAUCUUGGAUUUAAAGUUAAAAGAUAACAGCGAUGAACAAAAGUGCCACAGAGUCCAUUAGGAAAUCAGCGUCUUCUGUUGCUGCCAUGAUACUUUGGUUUCCCAAGGGGACGCUACUGAGAAGCUGGCUCACCAAGUCGCGGCCCAGGUUGCUGCUGCUGAUCGCAGGGUUGAAGAGGCCUCAGGUGACCCUCAUGAGGAGGAAAAGGAUGAAGCGCACAAAAGUAGCAAAGGCCACGUAAGCGAACCUGCAGCCGGAUGCCCCACUUCACCUGAGUCCUUAACAGAAAGGAACUCCUUGUUAGAUAUGGAAGACAAAGAUAAGGAAGACCUGUGUGUUGGAUCGUUUCCCCAGCAACGAACUAAAAUCCCGGAACCACAAGACAGAGUGAAGCCGGAGAACAAACCACAGAGAUUGAGACCUCCAGACUAAUCCGGAUUACACCAGACCUGGACUGCCAGCUUCACCCCACUCUCUUCAAAUACACAUCUGUUUUGGCUCAUUAGACUGUAAUGACUGUGGCCUGUACCUCAUUCCUAUCCAAAGGGAAACUGUUGGUAGAACAAACCCAGCUGUCCCUGUGUUCUUAGUUCAGACUCUUUCAGGUUUCCAGGUUGAUGUGUUUGAGUCUCAGAGGAGCCCAAACCAGCUGCUGAUUAAACUCUUAAAUCUGAUGGGACGCCAACUCAGCCUCACAUUCUUCUGUCAGACCAAAACUUGUCAAGUAGCUCACUUCCACACAAAACGAAGCUUUUAUGACAUCCACCGAGAAAUGCGGACGUUACAACAUUCAACCCUUGAUGAUAUGGAAAUUUGUAAUGUCAAGAUUCAGACGCUAGGUUGCUAAUCAUGGCACAGUUUGCAAUAGAAAUUUGCUUAAUCAUCAUCUGUGCAGGAUGUGAACUUGAAGUCUGAGGAGGUUUUUUUUCUUGAAGUUUUUCCCCCAUUUUAUUUUUCAUAACGUGGGUAGAAUAAGUUUUGGAAGAAAACGCUUCAUUUUCAUCGUGUUUGUCUGUAAAUAAUUGUAGACACACAACUGGCUCGAACAGUGGAGUGUCUGGAGAAAUUUGCUUCAUGUGGGAUGAUUGGAUUUCGCAAAGCCAAGGACGUCAGUGACUAAUAAUAUUAUCUAACAAGCCUCAGGAAAUGUGGGGUUUGUGAUGUUUUGUCUGCCUACAACAGUUGCCAUUGUUGUGGAUGGUUACACGCAAAUUUAAACAACAUCCAGCUGAAAAUAUCCUUUCACUAACAGUUGACAAAGAAUUUAAUUGGUCGAGGAGGGUCCCAGUCAGAAAUAUCAGAUAUUGGAAAGUCAGAGAUCUGUGUAAUGAUCUUACUAAACCGUGACGUAAUGGUGUGCUUGAAAACUAGUUUGAUUUAUUUGAAGCAUUAUAUGGAGGAAAGAAAGUAUUAAAUAAAAUGCAAACAAAAUUUUCUUUUGUCCAAGUGGAGCCUUCAGUCUCAUUUUGUUGUUUUAGCUUCAACACCACAGAUAGAUCAGUGAUUUUAUCUAAAAGCCCACACAUUUCUAUUCUUUAAGCUAGCUAAAUCUUCAGUGCUGUGGUCCUUUUACCAGCUAUUUUAAAUUUCUCUUGAUUCCCACAGUUUAAAGUGUAUGUUUGUGAUAUUAGUCCACAUCUUGUCAUGGUAGACAUAUGGUAGUCACUUUGCUGUGAUGGAUUCACUUCAAAAUUAAUCAAAAAAUACAUCCAACAUGUUGACAAUUGAACAUGGUAGCACUUUAUAUUAAGUUAAAUUCUUUUUAUUUCCAAUCAUUCAACAUUUCAAAGAUCACCAAAAUUAAAAGAUUGAAAGGUAUCGGAUUAAUCUCUAUCUUAUUCCAUUUCUAUUUUUUAACUAUUCGUAGUGACAUCCAUCAAGGAAACCUAAUUCUUGUUAACCAUAUUGACUUGCUGGAAAAAGUUAAAUAAACUACUGACUUAAUAUAAAGUGUCACCAAAUAUUUGUACUGAUUUAAGA